UCAAUGAUCAAGUUUGAGGUCGGGAGGAAUGAGUUUAAGAGCUGUUUUUGUCUUGUUAGGUAAUUGACAUUGCAGGCACGAGUCUUUUUCUUUUGAUAAGACAUUGCAGGGAGAGGCUUAGAGGGUGGUUGGUCAGGGCUUAAAAUCCCUCCUUCUUGAUUUAUAAGUAGAAGCAAUUGUUUGUGUAAAAAAUAAGAAGUACUUAAAAAAAGUUGAGAAACACCUGGGAAACACUUGAUAUAUAUUAGUAGUCAGGAAAUCAGUUUCUGUACUCUGUAAUUUGGUCACUCAGGUUAAUAAUAUUAGCUUCCUCCGGUGGAUGUAGGCAAGUUGCCGAACCACGUUGAUUUUGUUUACCGUUUUUGAUAUAUUAUUUACUGCUUCUUGUUUCUCUGCUCACUGCAUAUGAUGGAGCCAAGACCAGCACCGCCUCUUCAAGAUGUCGACAACCAAGAACUUGAGAACUUCCUUUCAUCUUUGCCGAAAGAGAGAGGUUAUUGAUUGCUUUGGCAUUGAUUAUUUCACCUACAAGUCUGAUGAAAGACAUUUCAGGCACGUUAUAUAUCAGCUUAAAAUGAUAGUUUUCUGCAAUAUUGAGAAACACUUGAUAUAUAUUACUAGUGAGGAAAUCAGUUUCUGUACUCUGUAAUUUAGCUGCCUCCUGUGGAUGUAGGCAAGUUGCCGAACCUCGUUAAUCUAGUUUACUGUUUCUGAUAUAUUAUUUACCGCUGUUUGUUUCUCUGCGCACCACAUAUGAUGGAGCCAAGACCAGCACCGCCUCUUCAGGACGUCGACAACCAAGAACUUGAGAACUUGCUUUCAUCUUUGCCGAAAGAGAGAGGUAUUAUCCCAUCAUACUCAUAUCAGUACCAAGGAUUCUGGUAUUCUCCUAUAACUUUGCAGGGAAUUAUCAAUUGUCAAAAAUAUUUUCAACCCCGUGAAAAUGAUAUCUUCCUUGUUACAUCCCCCAAAAUUCGGCACCACCUGGCUUAAAGCCAUCCUUUUUGCAUUGGUGAACCGCGAAGCCCACCCUCCUCAGGAUCCUCACCAUCCUCUACUUAGUAAAACUCCCCAUCAGCUUGUUCCUUUUCUCGAAUUUCUUCAUCCCUCUGAGUAUGACUCCCUUUGCAACUCCUCAGACAGCAGCAGUAGGAUCUUUGCAACUCAUAUUUCAUUAGGUACCCUCCCAAAAGCUAUAACCGGCGACUCUGGCUCAUUAAACUGCAAAAUAGUCUACCUCUGCAGGGACAUCAAAGACACCUUUGUUUCACUCUUUCACUUUGGCACCAAGAAGAAGACCUCUCCCAUCUCUUUGGAAGACGCCUUUGAUUUGUACUGUAAGGGAAUCAGUUCAGCUGGACCGAUUUGGGAUCAAAUCUUGGGAUAUUGGAAAGAGAGCCAGAAAAACCCACAUAAGGUGCUCUUUAUGAGGUAUGAAGAGAUGAAAGAUGAGCCUUAUUUACAGCUGAGGCGUCUAGCAAAUUUUCUUGGGAUACCAUUUUCCCAGGAGGAGGAAAAUUCAGGUUUGGUUGAUCAAAUCAUAAGUAUAUGUAGUUUCGAGAGCAUGACCAAGGUAGAUGUUAAUAAGACGGGAACCUUUGUGGAUGGAUUCAACAAUAGUUCAUUUUUCCGGAAAGGUGUAAUCGGAGAUUGGAAAAAUUGUUUAACUGCUGAUAUGGCUUCUAGGUUGGAUCAGAUUACAGAAGAAAAAUUCCGUUGUUCUGGUUUGUCUCUCUAAUAUUUUUUACUAUGCUCCUGCCAAAAUAUCUGCUAAAAAUUUCUUUUGUGUGAUUUCAACUGGUCUUGGUUUCCAUGUUUCAUGUUAAUUAGUA
Molecule: long non-coding RNA, 1832 nt
Organism: Daucus carota subsp. sativus
Lineage: Eukaryota; Viridiplantae; Streptophyta; Magnoliopsida; Apiales; Apiaceae
Exons: 2
Source: RefSeq, a predicted model, not a curated record